UGGGGAAUUUUGGACAAUGGGCGAAAGCCUGAUCCAGCAAUGCCGCGUGUGUGAAGAAGGCCUUCGGGUUGUAAAGCACUUUUGUCCGGAAAGAAAUCCUUGGCCCUAAUACAGUCGGGGGAUGACGGUACCGGAAGAAUAAGCACCGGCUAACUACGUGCCAGCAGCCGCGGUAAUACGUAGGGUGCAAGCGUUAAUCGGAAUUACUGGGCGUAAAGCGUGCGCAGGCGGUUUGCUAAGACCGAUGUGAAAUCCCCGGGCUCAACCUGGGAACUGCAUUGGUGACUGGCAGGCUAGAGUAUGGCAGAGGGGGGUAGAAUUCCACGUGUAGCAGUGAAAUGCGUAGAGAUGUGGAGGAAUACCGAUGGCGAAGGCAGCCCCCUGGGCCAAUACUGACGCUCAUGCACGAAAGCGUGGGGAGCAAACAGGAUUAGAUACCCUGGUAGUCCACGCCCUAAACGAUGUCAACUAGUUGUUGGGGAUUCAUUUCCUUAGUAACGUAGCUAACGCGUGAAGUUGACCGCCUGGGGAGUACGGUCGCAAGAUUAAAACUUAAAGGAAUUGAC
RNAcentral lists this ribosomal RNA (566 nucleotides) under uncultured bacterium. Its description in RNAcentral is "partial 16S ribosomal RNA". It matches the Rfam family "Bacterial small subunit ribosomal RNA", at positions 355 to 914 of the family's 1533-position model. The record is from RNAcentral.